UGCAUAAAAAAGGCCAUGAAUGGUGGCGACUCUGAAAACAGGCCUCUGACCAUAUGGUUCACAAAGCCGGCCCCAUAGUGCGUGUGCCACAUGUUGCAGGCGUUGCCAGUGCACAAACACACACACACACACACACCCGAAAUGCAAACUGCAUGCAAAGCCAAACCAAGUGCAGUGCCCAUUGCCCAGCAGUGUGGAGUGGGCUCCCUGUAUCUGCACUGACAGCAUAUUUGAUGUGGUUGCAUGCAGCUGCAAGUUGCAGCAGCACCAGUGGCACACUGUCACUGCACCUGCUUGUGUGAUAAGCCGCCCAGCUGACAAUGCCGCUUCAACGCAAAGGGAAUCAUUGAUUAAGAAACCAAAGAUGAAUUAAUAUUUAACAGGCAUAAAGAAUAAACAGAAUGGGGCCUUAGCUUAAUCGAAAAGCAAUUGCAUUGGCUUGCCAAGAGUUUUGCAGCUGUCCGAAUAUAUUUAUGAUUAACCCAUAAGCCAGGUAUUUUCUCACAUUUGCAUUAUUUCCAUGCCAACAACUGUUAUACACGUGUACGUGAACGCACACAAGAUUAGGGCUUGCUGAUCGCUGAUGGCCCGCCUGUCUGUCUGUCACUUUGAUUUCAAUAUAUUUGUCGGAACAUUUGCAUGAACCCAUUAGCAAUGGGAAAACCCCAGUAAGAGGCCAUUCCCAUCUGAACCAUCAGCCGUACAGCAUUAGAUUUCCUUCGAAUUCCCAGUACAUGUACGAGAGAGGGGCAUUAGGCAUAAAGUUCAGCCACCUCCAUACGAUACUUAUCAUUGUACAAUCGUUUCCAUGACUUAGAACAUGGAAAAAGUGCAAUACACAAAUCAAAACCGAGAUGGGCGCUGUCUAUAUGGACUCUGCGGGAUCAUUUACAGCUGAUCAAUUUCGUGCUGCUGAAGUUACAUGUUACUGGACGAACACAUGUUCCUCUUAGAAUCCCACACCACUCCAUCUCAUAUUUAAUGACUUUUAUACCUACUAAAGGCUAGAUUAUAGGAUAAGAUUAUAGAGAUUAUCAUCUACAAACAUUUGUCAAGCUCUUUCUCGCUCUCUUUGUAAUUGAUACUCGUUCGGAAAUAUAUCAUUAUAACUGUGCCCACCGAGAAAACAAUAGUUACAUUAUAGCUAACAUAAUGGCAAGACUACAUCGAUAUUAAUUGGUAUCUCUCCUGUUUUCAGAUGCAGGUCAGAUGCGUCCAACCCGAAAUGUCACACAUAAAUCAGAGCUUCUACAUUUCGCUGACUUGCCUCCAGGGACUCGUUGCAGGACUCGGUCUAUGCCAUGCUCAUUCAGUUUAUUAUUAUCUCGAGUGCUCUUAACCCUUGCUGCUACUUAACACGCCGCCGUACACUCUAGAAACUAGCGACAUACUUUGGCAUAUUUUCGCAUCCUUCCGAUGGGCGCCAAGAACAAGCAGCACAACAAAAACGCAAACAAAACACAAAACGAAACAAGGAAAAAUCCCAACAAGAGCGGCACGAAAAGUGACAGAAGAGCUUGACGCGGGGGCGAGGCUAAAAUGGAUGGAGGAUAGAGGAUAGAGGAGAGAGGAGAGAGGCAAGAGAGAACUCAAGUGCACUCAAGUAAUAUGCUUCAUAAUUUUUAUUGUCAAGCCCUUUUCUUUGGGUUUGGGUGGUGCUGCCGCUGCCGAUGCACUCGACAACAAAAGCUCAAAAGCGCUUGGGGCAAAAAAAUGCAGAAAAAAAGGACUUUAUAAAAAGCAAAGGCAGAAAAUGGAGUGCUGUAGGUGGCGGGUAUAAAGAGAGAGAGAGAGAGAGAGAGAGGCGGGGUAGAACAAAGCACAGAGAGUAGCGCGCACGAGUAGCAUAAAUUUUAUAAUAUAGAAAAAAUCAAUGGCAGCAAAAAAUGCAGAGAAGCAAGGACUAGCUCGUCGAGUGUCCUGCCCGGCUGCCCACUUCUCGUCCACUGGUACACUGUCCACAGUCCUGCACUGUCCUACUAUCCAGUCUGCCGCAGGCCCGUGUCGGUCUCGGGGCUUCGCUCCUCCCUACGCCGAGUUGCACAAAUUAACUUGCCCCCAUCCAUAUUCUCGGAUGUUUCUUGCCGCUCUCAAUUGUUGCCAGUUAAUUUUGGUUUUUUUGUAUUUUUUGCUCUGCACAUUUGCAUUUUCUGCGCUUCCAUCCACUGCACUUGUCGGCGUAAUUAGGCGCCGACCAGCCUCUUUGGCUUUGAUGUUCGCUGCUCUUAACUGGGCUAAGUAUGGCACCCACAGCC
Long non-coding RNA from Drosophila subobscura, 2255 nucleotides. RefSeq lists it as uncharacterized. The transcript has 3 exons. The record is from RefSeq and is a predicted model, not a curated record. NCBI's taxonomy places the organism in Eukaryota, Metazoa, Arthropoda, Insecta, Diptera, Drosophilidae.